GACCAGUUUCUUCUCCACUGCUUGGGUGUCCACAAUAUUUCUGGGGCAGAGUGAACGCCUACGAAGAAGUCUGUCCAUUCGUUUGUUCACUCAUUCAUUCCCUCAACAAGCACACAUUGACCUCUCUUCUGUGUCCAGAUGCUGAGGACAUGAAAAAUCAGACUUGGCUCCUGACCUGGAGCUGCAGGGAUAGGCAGGGCUCAGGGGCCACGGACCUAAAGAACUGGGACGAAGGGAAGGUCCGCCAGGGCUUUGCCACCAGGUGAAAGUUUCCUCACUAGUGCGGGGCAUUUCUGGAGGACACCACUGGGCAGAGCUGGAAAAGGAGGGGCCAGCAGGUGCCUGGACCUGGAUGGGGCGGGGCUGGCCACUUCCCUUUCCUUUGGAUUCCACUUACAGCACAGGGACUUCCGGUUACUGGAGAGGAAGUUGACAAUAAACGGAGAAGCCCACAAAAACCUAUAACGGCCCCAUUGUGAUAAGGAUCAUG
Suricata suricatta (meerkat) is the source of this 490-nucleotide long non-coding RNA. RefSeq lists it as uncharacterized. The transcript is spliced from 5 exons. Lineage: Eukaryota; Metazoa; Chordata; Mammalia; Carnivora; Herpestidae. The record is from RefSeq and is a predicted model, not a curated record.